UACGUAGGUGGCAAGCGUUGUUCGGAAUUAUUGGGCGUAAAGGGCGCGUAGGCGGUUUGUUAAGUCGGUCGUGAAAGCCCGGGGCUCAACCCCGGAGGGUCGACCGAUACUGGCAGACUAGAGUACAGAAGAGGUAACUGGAAUUCCCGGUGUAGCGGUGAAAUGCGUAGAUAUCGGGGAGGAACACCAGGAGGCGAAGGGCGGGUUGCUGGGCUGAUAC
Molecule: ribosomal RNA, 220 nt
Filed under: uncultured bacterium
Lineage: Bacteria
Description: partial 16S ribosomal RNA
Rfam family: Bacterial small subunit ribosomal RNA
Source: RNAcentral